AUUGAACGCUGGCGGCAUGCCUUACACAUGCAAGUCGAACGGCAGCACGGGUGCUUGCACCUGGUGGCGAGUGGCGAACGGGUGAGUAAUACAUCGGAACAUGUCCUGUAGUGGGGGAUAGCCCGGCGAAAGCCGGAUUAAUACCGCAUACGAUCCACGGAUGAAAGCGGGGGACCUUAGGGCCUCGCGCUAUAGGGUUGGCCGAUGGCUGAUUAGCUAGUUGGUGGGGUAAAGGCCUACCAAGGCGACGAUCAAUAGCUGGUCUGAGAGGACGACCAGCCACACUGGGACUGAGACACGGCCCAGACUCCUACGGGAGGCAGCAGUGGGGAAUUUUGGACAAGGGGCGAAAGCCUGAUCCAGCAAUGCCGCGUGUGUGAAGAAGGCCUUCGGGUUGUAAAGCACUUUUGUCCGGAAAGAAAUCCUUGGCUCUAAUACAGUCGGGGGAUGACGGUACCGGAAGAAUAAGCACCGGCUAACUACGU
Molecule: ribosomal RNA, 485 nt
Filed under: uncultured bacterium
Lineage: Bacteria
Description: partial 16S ribosomal RNA
Rfam family: Bacterial small subunit ribosomal RNA
Source: RNAcentral